This 209-nucleotide unclassified non-coding RNA is filed under the name Hevea brasiliensis (rubber tree). The record is from RNAcentral. Lineage: Eukaryota; Viridiplantae; Streptophyta; Magnoliopsida; Malpighiales; Euphorbiaceae.
AAAAAAGACAGAAAACAGAUGCUCCCAACAACAGGGCUAAAACAUCCUCAAUAUUUCUUUUGAGACAGUCAUGCAUAUGUUUAAAAAGAACAAGAUUAUUAUAUGGUUUUGUCCGGUUCUACUGCUGAGCAUGGUGGAUACAUCAGGAAUGGAAUAUGAACAAUUGGAAGAAGACAGAUGUCUUGACCACUGACCACUGUUGAUGUUGG